This 1026-nucleotide long non-coding RNA is filed under the name Zonotrichia albicollis (white-throated sparrow). RNAcentral's name for it is "lncRNA (ENSZALG00000018068.1)". Lineage: Eukaryota; Metazoa; Chordata; Aves; Passeriformes; Passerellidae. The record is from RNAcentral.
CCUCAGGACAGGAAUUGUCUCUGUCUGCUAGAAGGAUGCCACAAACAUUUGUGGCACAAGACAAAUGUGUUCUAGAAACAAAUGUGUUUAUUCUAGAAAGCAGGUGCAACCACAGAAAGAGGAGAAAAUCCAGCAGAAACAGGAGCUUGGCCAGUGGCAUCUCUAGUGUCUUCUAGUUGGUAGUGAUCGUGAAAGAAAAUUUUGUGGCUGAUAAGCUUCCACAUGUGUAAUGUGACAGAAGUUUAAAGGAAAACUGUCAAACAAGAACAGUGAAAGAUCAUCCAUAAUCAAGAUACUACCAUCCAUGUGAAAGUAUAUAGAGUUAUUUUGAAGGGAGAGAGUGAAAAACAGAAGAAAUAUGGCCAUUACUUCAUAAAAGAGCUUGUAGCCUUCUCCUACAUAUCCCAUCUUUGCCAUCAGCCUGUGUAGCUGUAUGUCCAUCUCCAAGCCUGGGAACAGCCAGUGAAAUCCCCACUGAGAACUACUGCACAGGAGUACAAACUCUAAAAUUUUUAAGCAUUAUUUAGAAAGUGUAUAAAUGUAUGUUAACCCAUUACAAGUUUCCAUUAAUUUUUUUUUUAAUAACACAUGAAUAUUUUGGAGAGUGGCAACUCAGAUGAACAGAAAAAAAGCCUACAUAGGAGAAAGUUGAAGAGACAAUGGCCAUGUCUUUGGUCUCCCAACACAUAACAGGGCUAACUCCUGAACCAUUUGGACCAUGCAGUGUGGCUGUGCAUCCUCAGUGUUGGACUCUGGAGAGGACAACAGACAGCAAGGCUUUGAAGUCUUUCACAGCCCUUGGCCUUACGUGGGGUCCAAGGGAGGAAGGGGUCAAGCCACAUGGGAUACUCCUGAUCAGUUUAUAAGGAGCCUUGAGAUGUUCUGGAGACCCUCAUCUCCAGGGCAACCUCAUUCUUCCAGAUCUGCUCCUACAGCUCCUGGCUGAGCUCCUCUCUCUCCUUUCUGAAACUCUGCAUCUCAAGGUGGCAUUAGCAGCAGCCUACUUCCCUUCCCAAGCCUAAAAGG